RNAcentral lists this long non-coding RNA (331 nucleotides) under Theobroma cacao (cacao). RNAcentral's name for it is "long non-coding RNA (TCAC_LNC000470)". The record is from RNAcentral. Lineage: Eukaryota; Viridiplantae; Streptophyta; Magnoliopsida; Malvales; Malvaceae.
UUCCAUGCCAUUUUCUCUUUAUCCACCAUGAAAUCAAGUUUUCUUCACUUUCCUUUCCAUGUUUUCUUUUCCUUUCUUCUCCAAACUUCUUGAGCACUAAAUUUACAACCUUUAACCCCAAUUUUCAGCACAUCUAAACCCUAGGAGGAGAAGAAAGAAAAAGAGAGAAAGGAAGAAAAAGCUUGGUUUUGGUGAUUCACGCAAUGAAUGGUAAGAAUUCUUGUUUUUGGCUUGAGUAGUCUUUGAAAUUGAGUUAGUGACUUAGAGAAGUGUCUUGUGGUAGCAAAGAUUGGCUUGAUUGAAGAAAAAUUGGUAACAUGUAAGCCAAUAA